RNAcentral lists this long non-coding RNA (1253 nucleotides) under Cricetulus griseus (Chinese hamster). RNAcentral describes it as "lncRNA (ENSCGRG00015037586.1)". The record is from RNAcentral. Lineage: Eukaryota; Metazoa; Chordata; Mammalia; Rodentia; Cricetidae.
AUACAAGAGUACAAUAAGUUCAAAAGAGCAAUGAAAUAAUGAAGUGACCAGUGUUUUACUAGCUUUUUCAGGCAUCCUCAGGGCAGAUUACUGUUAUUCUGUGUGACUUUGAGGAUUGUAAGUUUACAAAACACUACUCAGGGCAGUUCACCCUAGAGGACGCUGGUGCAGACAGACAGCAGAAGUGGCUACACAGUCACAAUGAUGACAUCAACUGGUCACAAAGAACCCUGAUGGCUCAACAUAAUCCUAAAAGACCAAUGAGUUCCAACUUUCCCUGACACAUGGCGAAUAUCCAAACAGUUCAAUGGAUUAAAUUUGCUCCAAAGAGCUUCUCAACUAAAAAAUGCCUGUAUAUAAAUGGUGUGAUCACCUGCAUGGUUUAACAGAACUGAAACGGCUCAGAAGACUCUCAAAGACAAAGCUGCUCACCAAAUGGCAGCUACUGAAAUGUAUCCAAAAGAACACUAAAAUUCAAAGAAGCCUCUAAACUAAAAAGGCUGGUGAAGUCUAAGGUGCCCAAUGAAAAAUUUUGUGAGAGUCCAAACCAAAUCCAAAUUCUUAUUUAUCUGCUUCACCAAACAGAGGCCAAAAGCAGCUGCUGUGGGCUGAAAAACGAAAGAAAUCCUGCCUGAUACGGAACAAUAUCCAGUAAAGAGAAUAAUUUAUACAAAGCAUAAAAUUUUGAAAUGAGCAAACAGAUUAAUUUAACUGGAGAGUCCAUAUAAGACAGUAAUGAGAAAACCAUACCAUAAUCUCAAUGGAUGCUGAAAAUGCAUUGGACAGACUCCAACAGCAAAGACCUAAGUAAAAAUGGAUGGCUACUUUCUUAUCACAAUCAGAAGCAUCUGUGAUGUCGGAGGGUGUAUUUGAUGAUGAAACAUGCUGGGAAUUCUAAUAAAAAUGAGCCACAAAACUCAAUAGCUCUGGAGUUCAUGGAUGAAAAAUACACAUGCAAAUAGUGAAGUCUUAUUCUAGAUGUCCUUAAUAUAUAUUUUAAUGUGGUGAGAAUAUAAAUGGCUGACUACUGGCAUGAAAAUUAACCAAAGAGGGACCAAAGAGAUGACUCUGUGCUUCAAAACACUUGCUGUUCUUGCAAAGGACCUGGUUUGGAUUUAAGCAACCACAUUACGGCUCACAACUAUCUGUAGCUGCAGCUCCGGAGACUUCAGCACCCUCUUCUGGCCUCUGCAGACACUACUUAUGUGGUACACAUACCUCCAAUACAGUCAAAACACUCAUAUAUAUAUUAA